GAGGGCGUCGAUCGGCAACCCGGAUGCUUGUCGUGAUGCCUAGAGAGGAUGGAUGACAAGAGACACAGAUACAGACACGCCUCUUUUCCUCUUCUCUUGUCCUUUUUUCGUUGUGCUCUCAAUAAAGCUUGAUAUUGAAAUUGAAAGUGCUACUGAAAGUGUGGGCAAGCAUAUGCUCGAAGCAUGCAACAAUAAUCUGGAAAUGGCUGUCACUAUGUUCCUCGAUGGUGGAGGGAUAGCAGAGGAGCCUAGCACCAGUUCUGCGAGUGUAUCAAACCUACGACCACAUACAGAAGAUGAAGUAAGAGCACCUAUUCCUCAAAAGCAGGAAAUUCUGGUAGAACCUGAGCCUUUAUUUGGUGCUCCAAAAAGACGCAGACCCGCUCGUUCAAUAUUUGAUGGUUUUCGGGAUUUCCAGACAGAAACAAUUCGGCAGGAGCAAGAGUUGAGGAAUGGAGGAGCAAUAGACAAGAAACUCACCACCCUUGCAGAUCUCUUCAGGCCUCCAAUUGAUCUGAUGCACAAAGGAAGUUUUGAAACGGCCAAGGAGUGUGGUCAGAUGCAGAACAAAUGGCUCAUGAUUAACAUACAGAAUGUGCAGGAUUUUGCCUGUCAGUGUCUCAACCGUGAUGUUUGGAGCAAUGAGGCUGUGAAAAACAUUAUUCGAGAGCACUUCAUUUUCUGGCAGGUGUACCAUGACAGUGAGGAAGGACAAAGAUACAUACAGUUCUACAAACUAGCAGACUUUCCUUAUGUUUCUAUCCUGGACCCUAGGACAGGGCAGAAGCUAGUUGAGUGGCAUCAGCUAGAUGUAACUUCUUUUUUGGACCAAGUGACUGGGUUCCUCGGUGAGCAUGGACAACUGGAUGGACAUUCCACCAGCCCUCCCCAGAAACGUUCUCGGUCUGAGAGUCUCAUUGACGCAAGUGAAGAUAGCCAGUUGGAAGCUGCCAUCAGAGCAUCCCUACAGGAGACCCAUUUUGACUCUCACCAAGUCAGGCAGGACAACAGAUCAGAUGAAGAGUCUGAAUCAGAGCUUUUCUCUGGAAGUGAAGAAUUUAUUUCUGUUUGUGGUUCUGAUGAUGAUGAGCCAGACAAUCCAGCCAAGUCUAGGAAGUCUCCGCACAAGGACUUGGGCUGUAGGAAAGAGGAAGGCAGAAGGCCCCAGCCUGAGCCCACAGCAAGGACUGAACCAGAGAUGGUAACAAACCAUCGAGGACUGUCUUGCAUGGAUUCUGGGGUACUAGAAGAGAUUGGGCCUAAGCCAGAAGCUGCAGUGAAGGAGCUUAAUGUGAAUGGACCAAAGGCACAGCUAAUGUUAAGGUAUCCAGAUGGGAAGAGGGAACAAAUUUCACUGCCUGAACAAGCUAAGCUUCUGGCUCUCAUCAAACAUGUACAGUCAAAAGGAUACCCCAAUGAACGUUUUGAACUCCUCACCAACUUUCCCCGGAGGAAACUUUCCCAUCUGGACUAUGACAUCACAUUACAGGAGGCUGGUCUUUGUCCUCAAGAGACUGUAUUUGUGCAGGAAAGGAAUUAGUUCUCCCUGCUUCCCACCCCCCACCCCCAAAUGUCAUCUUUGCAUACAAAAUUAAUUCCCCAGUGUGCAAUUGGCUCCAUGAGAUCACAGAGCUGAAAUCAAAACAGCAAUUUGCUGGCUUCUUUCCUUCCCUCCUUUGUGCUGCUCUUAGCAAAUGAACCAUGUGGAAACAACAGGGUAGAUUUACUUGGCUUUGAUGCUGGAGGAAGGCAUGUUUGCUGGUUCAUAAUUGGAAAGGCCACCUGCACGUCCAGAAUGCUGGGGACACUGAGUAGCAAGAACAAGAAAUGUUUCUCUUUCCCUUCAGAAAAAAAUAUUUUCUUUAAUAUAUUUUAUUUUUCAACAGAUCACAUGACCAGACAUUAAGGGUUUCUUUAGACAACCAUCUGAGCAUGUGUUGGCUGCAUGGAGGCAGUUUUUGUUCCCACUGCCAUAUGCAGGAUUUUGUUCUCAGCAUGCAGUGACAAACAUGGAUUUUCCUGGGGUGCCAACUUGUGCUGAAAGCUGAAUCCUGGAUGGUGGUGAAAUUAAUGACAAAUUGAAGGUGAUGGAUGUUUGAACACCAAGGCUAUAACUGACCUUAGGUUAAAAACCACACAACUGGCAAUGUGUGAAUUCACAAUUAAAGCAUGCUGAUGAAGUCAAACUAAUGUAUUGGUUAAGAAAUCUAGCUUUUGACAAAGCCCUGAAACUUAUUUUUUAGGAACUGAAGCCAGCAAACAUUAGAUUUACAUAAGCUAAGGAACAUCCUGAAGGAUGAAGGCAAACAUUCCCUGUUAAGACUAAACUAAAUGAAGCCAAAUAAUUUUCUGAUUAGUUAUCAGUUUGUGAAAUUGAGACAUACACACACACAUAACCCCCUCCAUAUUUUACGGAGCUUGUUACUCUGAGGAGCAGUUGUUUGCACACUGCUACUCUAGUUAGAUUGCAAAAUCCAAUUAGGGAAAAAGAACUGAAUCUAUUGGUCACUUAUGAAGGGCUGACUACAAAAUGAACUAUUACUUUGGCUGUGAGGAAUAGCAACUACAAAAUACAUAACCUAUUUUGAAGCAUCAUUAUUAACUGUUAAUUUUUUUAAAAGAGUCUCUGGGUUGUGUCUGACUAAGACAUACUUACAAUAGCCCCAUUGAAAUCAGUGGACUUAACUGACUGUCCAUUGAUUUCAUUGGGUCUACUCCUGAGUGUGACUUAGUUGAAUACAACCCUCUUAAGUUCAGGUUGUAUUAAUUUUUCUCAGUUCUAUAGUCUACAACAACUUAUUUCUCCCCCAGCUAAUCUUUGUAGGCAUUGGUUAGUGCAAGCCUAUUGCUGCUUAAUGAGCACUGUUGCAUUAAUUCUAAGUACACUAAAUAUGAGGAGUCUUAUCUGCAUUUCCCACCAUCCCUUUUCACUAGCAGUACAGAAUAUUUGUAUUCAAAACUGGGUUGUAUCCAGUGGUGACUUUGCCUUAGCAGAUGUACUUGUGCAAGUUAGGGCAUCUGUUUUUUGCUCAUGUACCCUACCUGCUUAAGCCCCCCCAAAACGCUUCUGAGCACUGAGUGAACCCUCCAGAACAGAAUGAGGCACAACAUUGGGGCCUGUAGUAGGUAAAGAAUUGAUGGAAAUUUGGGUAUCCAGACUUGAGCAAGCAAAAGCACUUUCUGCUAAGCCACUGUUUUUAGAAGAGUUUAACAAAAUGCUUUGAAAUGGGUUAGGUCUUGACUAAUCCUUUUGAUUAGUCACUCUUAGUCACUAAAAUAGCGAUUUUUUGGCAAUUUGCUUCAUAUGCAGAAUCUUCCAAAGUACAUACGUUAUGUUCAUGGCUUCUGAAUGAUCAGUGCUCCAGAAUGGAGUAUAAGAACGAAAGAGUAUUUGAACAAACUCUGCUGUGCUUAUUCCAUGUAUCAGACUCUUUGGGAGACUGCAAAUGGGUGGAGAAUUCAGAAAGAAGGUCACUUACAGAAACUAUUUGGCUUGAUUUUCUGAAGUGCUAUUUAGGCAAGUUAUUCAGUCUGAAAUGCCUUUUCUAGCUACUAUUCUGACAAAUAGGUUUUUUGUCAUUUACAUAAGCCUCGUCCCUUCUACUAAAUUUUAUCCCAUCCUUAAAACAGUUCAGAAGCUUAAUAGGCAUUUGAUACAGGAUUGUUCUAAGUUAUGCAAUGUAUUGGGGUGAGAAGGUCUUGACACCAAUAUUCCUGUAAAAAGUGCCUGGAAAGCAGAAAAGUAGCAUAUAAAUAUAAAUAAAAAGAUUACUAUUUGACACUUCAAAUCAUGCUGUUCUUAAUAGUGUGCUUUUACAGGAUUUGUAUUUCAGCAUCUAGUGUUCAAGAAGAUACAUGAACCCAAAUUGUUUAAGAUGUGGUGUGCAUUCAUGCCUAAUUUUUCUUGCAUUCAGGUGCCUGCAGAUUUAUCAAGAUCAUCCUCUUGUUAACUAGGAUAGCUUUUCCUAUGUUGCAAUUUUUGCAAGACUUUGUGCUGUAGGUCAUACCGACCCUAGAUUCAUAUUCCAGUUGCUUUGGUUUUACUAUGGAGGCUUAUGACUAUGGAACAAAGGGCUGUUUGGAAGCAUUUGAUAUCCCCCUAGACCAACUGUCAAGUCCUUCCUGAAACUUGGAUUUUAGGGAGGGGUCUCUGAUGCAGCACAUGCAAACAACGAUUAUGAAGCUAGUUUUUUUAGUAGCAAGCAUAGCAACUAGAAAUGUUCAAAAGUAUAGAUGACCUUAAAAACAAAGGUUCAAUUUUAAGGGUCUAAUAUAGUUACAGGAAUACUAUUGAAAGGCAAAUUCCAAAAGGAAUUCUGAAAUCAAAAAAUUGGUUCUGGGGAUGGAGUUAAGGUGUUAAGUUACAAACAAUUUAAACUGGGAGCAUAUGGUUUGGAUACUGUUAUAAUCAAGGUUAUGGUACCCUUCAAAACAUUAAGUUGACUUUUUAAUGUUGGAUUGUGAUCUUAAAACUUUAUAGCUAGAGCUGUAUAAACCUCAUCUGCUACAUUUUCAGUAGAAGCCAUUUCCCUUGUAAUUAUGAGAAUUCUAAGAUGGGUGGGGAGAAGAGAAGACUUCAGCUUGCUGUGAUGGGAAGGACCAAACUCAAGACAACCUCUGAACUAUAUAUACAAUUGCUGCAUUUUUAUAAAUAUGUGUAAAUGCCCUUCCUAUUGUAAUAUUUUGAUCCUGGAAAUAAAG
Molecule: RNA transcript, 4701 nt
Organism: Rhineura floridana
Lineage: Eukaryota; Metazoa; Chordata; Lepidosauria; Squamata; Rhineuridae
Gene: UBXN7
Gene name: UBX domain protein 7
Exons: 12
Source: RefSeq, a predicted model, not a curated record